Molecule: ribosomal RNA, 340 nt
Filed under: uncultured bacterium
Lineage: Bacteria
Description: bacterial SSU rRNA
Rfam family: Bacterial small subunit ribosomal RNA
Source: RNAcentral
AUUGAACGCUGGCGGCAUGCCUUACACAUGCAAGUCGAACGGCAGCACGGGAGCAAUCCUGGUGGCGAGUGGCGAACGGGUGAGUAAUAUAUCGGAACGUGCCCAGUCGUGGGGGAGUAACGUAGCGAAAGACUACGCUAAUACCGCAUACGAUCUAUGGAUGAAAGCGGGGGAGUCGCAAGACCUCGCGCGAUUGGAGCGGCCGAUAUCAGAUUAGGUAGUUGGUGGGGUAAAGGACCUACCAAGCCUUCGAUCUGUAGCUGGUCUGAGAGGACGACCAGCCACACUGGAACUGAGACACGGUCCAGACUCCUACGGGAGGCAGCAGUGGGGAAGUUUU